This 1514-nucleotide ribosomal RNA is filed under the name uncultured bacterium. RNAcentral describes it as "bacterial SSU rRNA". It matches the Rfam family "Bacterial small subunit ribosomal RNA". The record is from RNAcentral.
UAGAGUUUGAUCCUGGCUCAGGAUGAACGCUAGCGGCAGGCUUAAUACAUGCAAGUCGAGGGGCAGCAGGUCUGUAGCAAUACAGAUGCUGGCGACCGGCAAACGGGUGCGGAACACGUACAGAACCUUCCUUUAAGCGGGGGAUAGCCCAGAGAAAUUUGGAUUAAUACCCCAUAGUAUUGUUGAGUGGCAUCACUUGAUGAUUAAAGAUUUAUCACUUAAAGAUGGCUGUGCGGCUGAUUAGGUAGUUGGCGGGGUAAUGGCCCACCAAGCCUUCGAUCAGUAACUGGUGUGAGAGGACGACCAGCCACACGGGGACUGAGACACGGCCCCGACUCCUACGGGAGGCAGCAGUGGGGAAUUUUCCGCAAUGGGCGAAAGCCUGACGGAGUGACGCCGCGUGUGGGACGAAGGCCUUCGGGUCGUAAACCACUGUCAGUGGGAAAGAUGGGCAUCGGCGCGAUAACCGCCGGUGCUUGACGGUACCUGCAGAGGAAGCCCCGGCCAACUCUGUGCCAGCAGCCGCGGUAAGACAGAGGGGGCAAGCGUUGCUCGGAAUUACUGGGCGUAAAGGGCGCGUAGGCGGGAUGGCAAGUCGGUUGUGAAAUCCUUCGGCUCAACCGAAGAACGUCGAUCGAUACUGCCAUUCUUGAGGGAUGCAGAGGAGACUGGAAUUCCCGGUGUAGCGGUGAAAUGUGUAGAGAUCGGGAGGAACACCGGUGGCGAAGGCGGGUCUCUGGGCAUCUCCUGACGCUGAGGCGCGAAAGCGUGGGGAGCAAACGGGAUUAGAUACCCCGGUAGUCCACGCUGUAAACGAUGAGCACUAGGUGUAUGGGGUAUCGACCCCAUGUGCCGCAGCUAACGCAAUAAGUGACCCGCCUGGGGAGUACGGCCGCAAGGUUGAAACUCAAAGGAAUUGACGGGGGCCCGCACAAGCGGUGGAGCAUGUGGAUUAAUACGUCACUAACCGUAGAACCUUACCCAGGCUUGACAUCUCGGGAACCCCUGUGAAAGCAGGGGGUGCCUCGCAAGAGGAGCCCGAAGACAGGUGUUGCAUGGCUGUCGUCAGCUCGUGUCGUGAGAUGUUGGGUUAAGUCCCGCAACGAGCGCAACCCCUGCCCCGUGUUGCCAGCGUUAAGUCGGGCACUCUCGGGGGACCGCUACGUAAGUUAGAGGAAGGUGGGGACGACGUCAAGUCAGCAUGGCCCUUACGCCUGGGGCUUCACACAUGCUACAAUGGCCAGUACAAAGGGUUCCUAACCCGCGAGGGGGCGGCAAUCCCAAAAAGCUGGUCCCAGUUCGGAUCGCAGGCUGCAACUCGCCUGCGUGAAGUCGGAAUCGCUAGUAACCGCCGGUCAGCUAUACGGCGGUGAAUACGUUCCCGGGCCUUGUACACACCGCCCGUCACGUCACCUGAGUCUGUUGCACCCGAAGCCGCUGGCCCAACUCGCAAGAGAGGGAGGCGUCGAAGGUGUGGCCGGUAAGGGGGACGAAGUCGUAACAAGGUAACCGUA